CAUUUCCAUUAAUGUACUUUAAUAUUCAUCUUCUUCUUCUUCCUCUUCUUUUUCUUUUUUGAUCAAUGAGUUAAAGAUUGGUGGUUAACCUUGAUACAAGGGAGGUUUAACCUUCCUUGAUUCAAAUCUAAUUCAACUUGAUCAUGGAUCAAGUGAAUGACUUUUCAUUAAGGAUAGGUUUCUUCCUAACCAAGCAAAGAACCUAAAUCAAUACAAGAUCAUUU
RNAcentral lists this long non-coding RNA (224 nucleotides) under Lathyrus oleraceus (garden pea). RNAcentral's name for it is "Pisum sativum (pea) long non-coding RNA (PSAT_LNC018465)". Lineage: Eukaryota; Viridiplantae; Streptophyta; Magnoliopsida; Fabales; Fabaceae. The record is from RNAcentral.